This 660-nucleotide ribosomal RNA is filed under the name uncultured organism. RNAcentral's name for it is "bacterial SSU rRNA". It matches the Rfam family "Bacterial small subunit ribosomal RNA", at positions 1 to 663 of the family's 1533-position model. The record is from RNAcentral.
GGCUUAGAGUUUGAUCAUGGCUCAGGAUGAACGCUGGCGGCGUGCCUAAUACAUGCAAGUCGAGCGAAGCGCUUGCCUUUGAUCCUUCGGGUGAAGAGGCUUGCGACUGAGCGGCGGACGGGUGAGUAACACGUAGGGAACCUGCCUCACACAGGGGGAUAACAGUUAGAAAUGACUGCUAAUACCGCAUAAGCGCACAGGACCGCAUGGUCUGGUGUGAAAAGCUCCGGCGGUGUGAGAUGGACCUGCGUCUGAUUAGCCAGUUGGCGGGGUAACGGCCCACCAAAGCGACGAUCAGUAGCCGGCCUGAGAGGGUGGACGGCCACAUUGGGACUGAGACACGGCCCAGACUCCUACGGGAGGCAGCAGUAGGGAAUAUUGCACAAUGGGGGAAACCCUGAUGCAGCGACGCCGCGUGAGCGAAGAAGUAUCUCGGUAUGUUAAGCUCUAUCAGCAGGGAAGAAGAUGACGGUACCUGACUAAGAAGCACCGGCUAAAUACGUGCCAGCAGCCGCGGUAAUACGUAUGGUGCAAGCGUUAUCCGGAUUUACUGGGUGUAAAGGGAGCGUAGACGGAAGAGCAGGUCUGGAGUGAAAGCCCGGGGCUCAACCCCGGGACUGCUUUGGAAACUGUUUAUCUAGAGUGCCGGAGAGGCAAGCG